RNAcentral lists this long non-coding RNA (235 nucleotides) under Solanum tuberosum (potato). Its description in RNAcentral is "long non-coding RNA (STUB_LNC008344)". Lineage: Eukaryota; Viridiplantae; Streptophyta; Magnoliopsida; Solanales; Solanaceae. The record is from RNAcentral.
UCUUCAUGUACAAGUUGUUGUACCAAUUUACAGCUGCAAUUUCUUCACCGUUCUUCCUUGUACCUUUGAAAGUCUUUUUUUUUUCUUUCUAUCAUGGCAUCAGAGCUUAUUUCUUAGGGGAAUCGAAUCAAAUCUUGUUGCUUGACUCAUCUUAUUUCUGGAUUUUUCGUGGAUAUAUUUGCUGGGGUCCUCGGAUUUUCACCGGCGAGAAUCAUCACAUUUUUGGGACGUCAAG